CAGUCGCCGCGGUAAUACGAAGGGUGCAAGCGUUAAUCGGAAUUACUGGGCGUAAAGGGUGCGUAGGCGGUUGUUUAAGUCUGUUGUGAAAUCCCCGGGCUCAACCUGGGAACUGCAUUUGUGACUGGCAAGCUAGAGUCUGGCAGAGGGGGGUGGAAUUCCGCGUGUAGCAGUGAAAUGCGUAGAUAUGCGGAGGAACACCGAUGGCGAAGGCAGCCCCCUGGGCCAACACUGACGCUCAUGCACGAAAGCGUGGGGAGCAAACAGGAUUAGAUACCCCAGUAGUCCCUGUCUCUUAUAC
Molecule: ribosomal RNA, 301 nt
Filed under: uncultured bacterium
Lineage: Bacteria
Description: partial 16S ribosomal RNA
Rfam family: Bacterial small subunit ribosomal RNA
Source: RNAcentral